UUUUAUUUUUUAUUUUUUUUUGUUUCAAAUGUUUUUAAUUUAAUAAAUCUUGUAACCACAUUUAAAUGAUCUAAAACCCAUAGCAUUGUAGUCACGGCAACCUACUAAACUUUCUCAUGCAACUAAAAUUUAUGGGGAAGGUGAGGGUGGGGGGUUGUACAUGUCCCGUUGUAAAAUAAGUGUUUUAAAUGUCCUGUACUGCUAAUGAAUGACUAUAUGUCCGAGAGUUCUCCAGUGAAAUAACUAUGCACUACUUUACAUUUCAUGGGGAUGCACAAAAAAAAAAAAGAAAAAAAGAAAAAGUAUGACAUUUUUAGUUGCUGUUUGUACCAACCUUGAAUGACAUAUGUUUAACAACAAAUCAAAAAUCCUAUUUCUAUUGAGUUUUUAAUACUGAGUAGCAACUCUGAAGUCUUAAUUCCUUUUUUGUUAUGAUUUAUUUGUGAGUUUACAUUUUUAAAUUGUUUAACUUUCUUAAUUUAGUAAUUAAAAAG
RNAcentral lists this long non-coding RNA (494 nucleotides) under Marmota monax (woodchuck). Lineage: Eukaryota; Metazoa; Chordata; Mammalia; Rodentia; Sciuridae. The record is from RNAcentral.